RNAcentral lists this ribosomal RNA (294 nucleotides) under uncultured bacterium. RNAcentral describes it as "partial 16S ribosomal RNA". It matches the Rfam family "Bacterial small subunit ribosomal RNA", at positions 337 to 623 of the family's 1533-position model. The record is from RNAcentral.
CCCUACGGGGGGCAGCAGUAGGGAAUCUUCCACAAUGGGCGAAAGCCUGAUGGAGCAACGCCGCGUGGGUGAAGAAGGUCUUCGGAUCGUAAAGCUCUGUUGGUAGUGAAGAAAGAUAGAGGUAGUAACUGGCCUUUAUUUGACGGUAAUUACUUAGAAAGUCACGGCUAACUACGUGCCAGCAGCCGCGGUAAUACGUAGGUGGCAAGCGUUGUCCGGAUUUAUUGGGCGUAAAGCGAGUGCAGGCGGUUCAAUAAGUCUGAUGUGAAAGCCUUCGGCUCAACCGGGAAAUUG